CCUACGGGUGGCAGCAGUGAGGAAUAUUGGUCAAUGGGCGCGAGCCUGAACCAGCCAAGUAGCGUGAAGGAUGACUGCCCUACGGGUUGUAAACUUCUUUUAUAAAGGAAUAAAGUGAGACACGUGUGCCUUUUUGUAUGUACUUUAUGAAUAAGGAUCGGCUAACUCCGUGCCAGCAGCCGCGGUAAUACGGAGGAUCCGAGCGUUAACCGGAUUUGUUGGGUUUAAAGGUAGCGUAGAUGGGUUGUUAAGUCAGUUGUGAAAGUUUGCGGCUCAAACGUAAAAUUGCAAUUGAUACUGGCAGUCUUGAGUACAGUUGAGGUAGGCGGAAUUCGAGGUGGAGCGGUGAAAUGCUUAGAUAUCACGAAGAACACCGAUUGCGAAGGCAGCUUACUAAACUGCCACUGACAUUGAGGGUCGAAAGUGUGGGUAGCAAACAGGAUUAGAUACCCCUGUAGUC
Molecule: ribosomal RNA, 460 nt
Filed under: uncultured bacterium
Lineage: Bacteria
Description: partial 16S ribosomal RNA
Rfam family: Bacterial small subunit ribosomal RNA
Source: RNAcentral